AGGACGAACGCUGGCGGCGUGCUUAACACAUGCAAGUCGAGCGGUAAGGCCUUUCGGGGUACACGAGCGGCGAACGGGUGAGUAACACGUGGGUGAUCUGCCCUGCACUUCGGGAUAAGCCUGGGAAACUGGGUCUAAUACCGGAUAUGACCUCCUAUCGCAUGGGUGGGUGGUGGAAAGAUUUAUCGGUGCAGGAUGGGCCCGCGGCCUAUCAGCUUGUUGGUGGGUAAUGGCCUACCAAGGCGACGACGGGUAGCCGCCCUGAGAGGGUGACCGGCCACACUGGGACUGAGACACGGCCCAGACUCCUACGGGAGGCAGCAGGUGGGAAUAUUGCACAAUGGGACGAAAGCCUGAUGCAGCGACGCCGGCGUAGAGGGAUGGACCGGCCGUUUCGGGGUUCGUAAACCGUUCUUUCGAGCGA
RNAcentral lists this ribosomal RNA (424 nucleotides) under uncultured soil bacterium. RNAcentral's name for it is "bacterial SSU rRNA". It matches the Rfam family "Bacterial small subunit ribosomal RNA", at positions 26 to 445 of the family's 1533-position model. The record is from RNAcentral.